Molecule: ribosomal RNA, 514 nt
Filed under: uncultured bacterium
Lineage: Bacteria
Description: bacterial SSU rRNA
Rfam family: Bacterial small subunit ribosomal RNA
Source: RNAcentral
UACGUAGGUGGCAAGCGUUAUCCGGAAUUAUUGGGCGUAAAGAGUGAGCAGGCGGCCUUUUAAGUCUGAAGUCAAAUGCAGUGGCUCAACCACUGUCCGCUUUGGAAACUGAGAGGCUAGAGUACGAGAGAGGUAUAUGGAAUUCCAUGUGGAGCGGUGAAAUGCGUAGAUAUAUGGAGGAACACCAGUGGCGAAGGCGAUAUACUGGAUCGAUACUGACGCUCAGUCACGAAAGCGUGGGUAGCAAAUAGGAUUAGAUACCCUAGUAGUCCACGCCGUAAACGCUGAGAACUAAGUGUUGGGGUGAAACCCAGCGCUGAAGCUAACGCAUUAAGUUCUCCGCCUGAGGAGUACGGUCGCAAGACUGAAACUUAAAGGAAUUGACGGGGGCCCGCACAAGCAGUGGAGCAUGUGGUUUAAUUCGAAGCUACGCGAAGAACCUUACCAGGGCUUGACAUAGUUCUAAGACUCUAGAAAUAGAGGGAUAUACAGAACAUACAGGUGGUGCAUGGUU